Molecule: ribosomal RNA, 468 nt
Filed under: uncultured bacterium
Lineage: Bacteria
Description: partial 16S ribosomal RNA
Rfam family: Bacterial small subunit ribosomal RNA
Source: RNAcentral
GACGAACGCUGGCGGCGUGCUUAACACAUGCAAGUCGAACGGAAAGGCCCUGCUUUUGUGGGGUGCUCGAGUGGCGAACGGGUGAGUAACACGUGAGUAACCUGCCCUUGACUUUGGGAUAACUUCAGGAAACUGGGGCGAAUACCGGAUAGGAGCUCCUGCUGCAUGGUGGGGGUUGGAAAGUUUCGGCGGUUGGGGAUGGACUCGCGGCUUAUCCGCUUGUUGGUGGGGUAGUGGCUUACCAAGGCUUUGACGGGUAGCCGGCCUGGGAGGGUGAACGGCCACAAUGGGACUGCGAUACGGCCCAGACUCCUACGGGAGGCAGCAGUGGGGAAUAUUGCACAAUGGGCGGAAGCCUGAUGCAGCAACGCCGCGUGCGGGAUGACGGGCUUCGGGUUGUAAACCGCUUUCUCCGUUGACGAAGCGUGCGUGACGGUAAUUGGUAAAGAAGCAACGGCUAACUACGUG